CUCUGCUGUUGGUCAUUUAAAUUAUUAUCAGCUUUGAAAUAGCACCUGGCCCAACAAAGUCACAAAUGGGGGACCUGCACCUACAUGGAGGACUUCACGUGGGCAGGCACCCUGAGUACUUGGCUCCCUGUUCUAUCCCCAGCACCUGUGUCAGAGCAGUUGCAGCUGGACCUGAGAGACCAGGUCAGAACGCCCUUAGAAUGAGACAAAGAAAAAUCUGGACCUGGAGCGAGAGGAUGAGGACGACAUUAGGAAUCCAGUCACCACACAGUCGGAGAUUUGUUCAACUAACAGAUGAGGAGCCAGAAUAAUCAGAUAUUAAAAGAAAAGGAAAUGGUCUGCAGAGAAUAAAUGAGAAAUUAUGACUUGGGAGUAAAGGGUGAUACAUUUUUACAACACACAUGGGUUUAAGUUAGGUGGAAAAGAAAUAAAGAAACU
This is a non-coding RNA of Heterocephalus glaber (naked mole-rat), 438 nucleotides long. Lineage: Eukaryota; Metazoa; Chordata; Mammalia; Rodentia; Bathyergidae. The record is from RefSeq and is a predicted model, not a curated record.